ACUGGUGGUACUGAGAAAAGCAAUUGAAACAUUUACCGUUAACAAAACCUGAAAAUUUUAUUGCUCACUCUGUCAGCCUCGCUCUGUGGUUAUUGGCUUCACUAAACUAACUUUGAAUGUUCUGUCCCUAUCCUCCACCAAUGGCGGGGUCUAACUAUCGAUGAGCCCCUCUCACUGGCUUCCCCCUCUUGACCUUGGUGAGCGCAGUGGUCAGCAGCAAUGGGAGGCCACUCCAUGAGGCUUGGUCGGUGGCUGGUGUCUAGAAAAGACACCCUUCUUCCACGGCGUGAUGUGAUGUCCGUUGAGCAUUUCGGUCGAGAUUGGGCAGCGGCGCACCUGCAAUUGAAAGAUGUUCAACCAAUUUCUCUUUCCCCUUCUAAGCAACAGUACACCUUUGCUUGAAAAACUCUCUGCGACUUCAAUUUUUGGUUCCGCUUCUGCGCCUAGAAACUCUUGCCUAGGAUCUUUUGUAUUGGACUAGGUUGAUUUCCUCUAGAGCUGAUCUUGUAGAAGUUGAUCUAGGUACAUGUUCGAGAUUUACGUUGGCCUAGGAUGGAGUGGUCGAAUCAAGUCGAACCUGAGCUGGCACAGCAACUGCCGCCUCACCCGCACAACUGACCUUGGCGCAUGGUGACAUCGGAUUCUUCCGCCUAGUAAAGAUGUUGACGGCAACCGGAGAGAAGCAAGGGGGUCGACGGGAGAGGCCUGCUGAUGUCUAGGUUAUUAGGAGAUGCUUGACUUGAUCUGUGGGUGGGGCUUGGUGGAUUGUGGCUGGGAUUGUGGGAGGGGAGGAGGGGUCACGGGGUGAUUCGGUGGGAUUUUGAUUUGCGAUGGGGCAGAAGAGUUGCACGAGUGAUCUGCCAUUCUAGAUCCGCCUUCGAAUCGAU
Molecule: long non-coding RNA, 887 nt
Filed under: Zea mays
Lineage: Eukaryota; Viridiplantae; Streptophyta; Magnoliopsida; Poales; Poaceae
Description: long non-coding RNA (ZMAY_LNC005586)
Source: RNAcentral